Molecule: long non-coding RNA, 1672 nt
Organism: Papaver somniferum (opium poppy)
Lineage: Eukaryota; Viridiplantae; Streptophyta; Magnoliopsida; Ranunculales; Papaveraceae
Exons: 2
Source: RefSeq, a predicted model, not a curated record
UUUAUGUCUCCUACUCCACCUGAGAAGCCAUGGCGGAUGCUUUACCAUAGAAAAGAGAAGAAGAUUUAGAGAGUGUAUCUUUGUGAGAUUCGAAUCAAGUAAAGAAGGAGGAAGAUCAAGAGAAGUUAACUGCUGCCAUUAAUUUGUUGAAAUUAGGGUUUGUGUGAAGAAGUCUGGGUUAUGAUCAAACCAAAAUGAUGGGUUGAAUCCGAAAUUAAUGGUGAAAAUGAGAAUUUGAAGAUGGUAAAGGGUUUGAGAUGAUUGGGGUACUGAAUCUGAGAUGGGGUUUCAAAUCUGUGUUGCAAGCAGACAAGGAAAUGGAGGAAUUAUUGGUUUUGAUGGUGGAAUCUGGUGGUUGAUGUGCAGUAAAGAAGAGAAUGAUUCAGAUGGCGUUGAUGCCAUGACCUGGUGGUAAUGAAAUGGGUGUGUGGUAUUGGAUGAGUUCUGGUUAUGUUGCAGAGCUGGAGAAAUACAGGGAAGAACAAUGGGUUGGUGAUGUAUAAGCUAUUACAGGUGCAGUUCGAGGCAGUGAAAUUGAAGCUCAAACUGAGAUAGAACUGGUGAUUGUCAUGGAUGCAUUGGUUGUAUUACAGAGUAUUGGACUGAGAAGUGGGAAUUGCAGGUAGAUGGACUGUGAUAGUGGUGGUAAUGAGUUGAUCAAUGGAAUAGUUCUGUUGAAGCAUCAAUGUACUAAAGCUCAGAGAUUCGAGUGGAAUAGAAGGUGAUUGUAUUGUUGUUGGUGGUUGUGAGCUGAAAUGAUUGAAUGGGUCUGCUCUUGAACUCAGAAGAUGUGAUAUGGAAUUGCUCAGUGGUUGAAAUUGGAGAUGAUCUGGUGGUGCAAUUGGCUAGGAUUCGUUGUUUCAAGGAUUAAUGGGUUUUUACUGAGUUUCAAAGAUAAGAAGAAUGGAAAUGAAUCAGUUGCAGGUUGUUUUGGUUAUGGGUAUAAGUAGCUGAUUUUGGUGUUGUUAGCUUCUGGUGUUGAGUGUUAUAUGCUUGAGAUGGUGGUAGCAGAAUGUAAGUGAUGCAGCUGAACUGAAGUCCCGGAGGUCUGUAAACUGGUGGUAAUUACUGGUAAAAUGAGUCUUUGAUGGACUUGUGAGCAGCUGCAGUUGCAGUCAUGUCCAUGGUGGUGCCGUGGCUCAGUGCAAUUGAGUUCAGAAAGUUUUUAUGUGUGUUUGCUUGGUGCUGCAGUUUAAGAUGACAUUGCAGGUGAUGGCUCUGGUGAUGAACUGAUGUAGCAGGUGUAUGUGUUGGCUGUGACUGAAAUGGAGAAUGGCUCAAGUAGUGCAAGAAUGAUGCAGUGGUGUUGUUGGAGCUGAUGCUAAGAUUAUAGCAGUUGUGUUGGUAUCCAGUAGAGUCUGAGUUAGCAGUGUAGGUGAAUGAUGAGGAGAUGCAGGUGGUGUUUGCGAAGGAUAAGGUUGUGACUGUGUUGGUUGCAGCGUCAUGGAAUGGGAGAUGGUUGUGCAUCUGAACUGUAAUGUGCAAUGACUGGAACUUAAUGGUGCUGCUAUUGGAGGGAGUUGUACUGUAUCUAAAGACGAUUGCCGUGUUUAGCGAGUUAUGGCAUGAACUAUGAGGUACUGGUGAAGAGAUUGUUUUGCUGGAUUGUUGACGGAGUUCAAGAAGCUACAACAAUUGUGAGUUGCAGUUGAACUGGUUAUUUGGAAUGGGA